GACGAACGCUGGCGGCGUGCUUAACACAUGCAAGUCGAACGGAAAGGCCCUGCUUUUGUGGGGUGCUCGAGUGGCGAACGGGUGAGUAACACGUGAGUAACCUGCCCUUGACUUUGGGAUAACUUCAGGAAACUGGGGCUAAUACCGGAUAGGAGCUCCUGCUGCAUGGUGGGGGUUGGAAAGUUUCGGCGGUUGGGGAUGGACUCGCGGCUUAUCAGCUUGUUGGUGGGGUAGUGGCUUACCAAGGCUUUGACGGGUAGCCGGCCUGAGAGGGUGACCAGCCACAUUGGGACUGAGAUACGGCCCAGACUCCUACGGGAGGCAGCGGUGGGGAAUAUUGCACAAUGGGCGGAAGCCUGAUGCAGCAACGCCGCGUGCGGGAUGACGGCCUUCGGGUUGUAAACCGCUUUCGCCUGUGACGAAGCGUGAGUGACGGUAAUGGGUAAAGAAGCACCGGCUAACUACGUG
Molecule: ribosomal RNA, 468 nt
Filed under: uncultured bacterium
Lineage: Bacteria
Description: partial 16S ribosomal RNA
Rfam family: Bacterial small subunit ribosomal RNA
Source: RNAcentral